AAGAGCAGGGGAGUGAGGUUAGAUUGAGAGGUGAGAACACAAGUGGGAAAGUGUGUUUGCUGAAUCUGGAGGAUGGAUACAGGUUUAAGAGGGCUCGCUUCACUGUUCUGUCUACUUUUAUAUACGUUAGAAUUUCUCGAAAUAUGAUGUUAAAACAAAGAAGUAACUUUUAAACGUGUUUCAGAUAGCUAAAUGCUAAAUUAGGAUUUAACAUCUUACUUUGGAUUUAACAUCUUACUUUGGCAGGCCAAAUACUGCAUACACUGGUUCACUUUGAAUGUUAAUGAAGUGGCUGGUAGCAGAAAGCUUUUAGAUGCCUUCAGGGUGGGGCUAAUUGCCAG
This 341-nucleotide long non-coding RNA is filed under the name Pan troglodytes (chimpanzee). RNAcentral's name for it is "long non-coding RNA NONPTRT007742". Lineage: Eukaryota; Metazoa; Chordata; Mammalia; Primates; Hominidae. The record is from RNAcentral.